GCCGGAGUGGCGAAAUGGCAGACGCAGCUGACUCAAAAUCAGCCGUGGGCAACCACAUGUCGGUUCGAGUCCGACCUUCGGCA
This 83-nucleotide transfer RNA is filed under the name Candidatus Melainabacteria bacterium HGW-Melainabacteria-1. Its description in RNAcentral is "tRNA-Leu". It matches the Rfam family "tRNA". Rfam says of the family: Transfer RNA (tRNA) molecules are approximately 80 nucleotides in length. Their secondary structure includes four short double-helical elements and three loops (D, anti-codon, and T loops). Further hydrogen bonds mediate the characteristic L-shaped molecular structure. tRNAs have two regions of fundamental functional importance: the anti-codon, which is responsible for specific mRNA codon recognition, and the 3' end, to which the tRNAs corresponding amino acid is attached (by aminoacyl-tRNA synthetases). tRNAs cope with the degeneracy of the genetic code in two manners: having more than one tRNA (with a specific anti-codon) for a particular amino acid; and 'wobble' base-pairing, i.e. permitting non-standard base-pairing at the 3rd anti-codon position. The record is from RNAcentral. Lineage: Bacteria; Bacillati; Candidatus Melainabacteria.